Molecule: non-coding RNA, 75 nt
Organism: Streptomyces sp. TSRI0107
Lineage: Bacteria; Bacillati; Actinomycetota; Actinomycetes; Kitasatosporales; Streptomycetaceae
Source: Rfam
CUUGAUCGAGCCGAGCCACAGCGGCCGCUCGGGGGAGUGGUCCUGCCCGUAGGUGUUGAGGAGGGCCUGCGCCUC